Molecule: ribosomal RNA, 338 nt
Filed under: Taenia saginata (beef tapeworm)
Lineage: Eukaryota; Metazoa; Platyhelminthes; Cestoda; Cyclophyllidea; Taeniidae
Description: partial 12S ribosomal RNA
Source: RNAcentral
GUAAGAUCUAAUAUUAACUUAGUUUAGUAACUAAAAUGGUUUGGCAGUGAGUGAUUCUUUUUAGGGGAAGGUGUGGUGUAAAGGAUGUUCCGCCUAUUAAUUUACUUUUAUUAUGUUGGUGUAUAUCUGGUUUAAUAUUAUUGUUGAGUGAUGUAUAAGUUUGUGUAGGUUUUAGUUAAGCUAAGUCUAUGUGCUGCUUAUAAAAGUAUACAUGCGUUACAUUGAUAAAGUUUUAGUUGUAAGUGCUAUUAUAUUUAGGACUUAAAAGUAAUGUUAAAUUAGUUUGUUAAUGUGAAGUAAGUUUAGCUCAUGUACACACCGCCCGUCACCCUCGGUUA